CCGUCAAUUCCUUUGAGUUUCAGCCUUGCGGCCGUACUUCCCAGGUGGCUCGCUUCACGGCUUCCCUACGGCACCGACAACGGUCGCACCGUGGCCGACACCUAGCGAGUAUCGUUCACGGCUGGGACUACCUGGGUAUCUAAUCCGGUUCGUGCCCCUAGCUUUCGUCCCUUGCCGUCAGGUCCGUUCUGGUGAGACGCCUUCGCCACUGGUGGUCCUUCAAGGAUUACAAGAUUUCACCCCUACCCCUGAAGUACCUCUCACCUCUCCCGGCCUCGAGCCAGACAGUAUCUCCUGAAAGCCUGACAGUUAAGCUGCCAGAUUUCUCAAGAGACUUAUCCGGCCGGCUACAGACCCUUUAGACCCAAUAAUAACGGUUACCACUCGAGCCGCCGGUGUUACCGCGGCGGCUGGCACCGGUCUUGCCCGGCCCUUGCUAUGAAAUGCUUUUUAGGCAUCUCGACAGCCAGAUUUGUAACCUGGCACUCGAGGUUCCCUUAUCGCUGUUGCCAGCAUUGUAAAGUUUUCGCGCCUGCUGCCUCCCGUAGGAGU
Molecule: ribosomal RNA, 552 nt
Filed under: uncultured bacterium
Lineage: Bacteria
Description: partial 16S ribosomal RNA
Source: RNAcentral